Molecule: unclassified non-coding RNA, 378 nt
Filed under: plant metagenome
Description: partial contains 5.8S ribosomal RNA, internal transcribed spacer 2, and large subunit ribosomal RNA
Rfam family: 5.8S ribosomal RNA (bases 1-105)
Source: RNAcentral
GAAAUGCGAUAAGUAAUGUGAAUUGCAGAAUUCAGUGAAUCAUCGAAUCUUUGAACGCACCUUGCGCUCCUUGGUAUUCCUUGGAGCAUGUCUGUUUGAGUAUCAUGAAAUCUUCAAAGUAAAUCUUUUGUUAACUCAAUUGGUUUCUACUUUGGUAUUGGAGGUCUUUGCAGCUUCACACCUGCUCCUCUUUGUUCAUUAGCUGGAUCUCAGUGUUAUGCUUGGUUCCACUCGGCGUGAUAAGUUAUCUAUCGCUGAGGACACUGUAAAAGGUGGCCAAGGUAAAUGCAGAUGAACCGCUUCUAAUAGUUCAUUGACUUGGACAAUACUUUUAUGAUCUGAUCUCAAAUCAGGUAGGACUACCCGCUGAACUUAAGC